UUAUCGGUCAUAUGAAGACGAAUUAUUAUUAUCCAUUUAUUCCUUUAUAUUAAGAAGUAUCGUAUACCUCAUAGGUACUACGGAAUAAUUUUCAAAUAAGAAACUUUUGAAUUGUCUGUUAUAUGUGUAUAUGCAUAAGUAAUUUUUGUCUCGUAAAUAAUAUCAUAAGUACCAUUGUUUACGUGCAGAAACUAGCUGCUAAUUCUAUACACAUAUUUAAUGUAAGUCGUGUCAUGCGGAACAGGAUACAUUUAUUCCAUUAAUAGCAGACGAAUUUUUUUCGACGUAACAAUGGUAUUAAUAAAGCAUCGCGUACCGGCUGUAACAGUGACGUCCAGUUGAUCUCCUUUAAUACACAUCAGACAAACGAGCAGAAAUAUAACUGCAUAAUAAAAAGUUUAUCCAAGUAAAACGAUACAAUAAGUACGUUUUCAUUUCGGGUCUUGCUCUGAAGUAACUAAAAGCCCCACUUCUAGUCCACCAGUAUUUUUACCAACCCGAUUGCUGCUCUCAUACAUCAUCUGUGCGGCAAAAAUUGUCGUGGCAAUUCUCCAUUACGCCGCCCUUAAUAGGAAAAACACUUUUUUUCAAACACUUGAAUAUGAAGAUGGUACGUUUAUUUCGCCAUACCAUCGCUAAGUUCGUACCGCCGUCGGAUCGUGAAUAGGUAGGAGGGGGUUGCUGAGAGCUGCUCAGUUGUGUUUUCAUCAUUUUCGCUCUACGAGGCUCGAUUGCUCAAAAUCUCCAAUUGUUAGUGUACUCGUCUUGAGUAACACUAGGAUUAAGGAAGGAUUGCCUCUUCAGCUGGAAACUAUCAAUUUAUUCGACAUUGCUAAGCAAUGCCCUUCUUCUUCCUCUGUUAUUCACAAGAUUAGCUAGGCGAGCAGUUGGACUGAUGUAAUGUAAGCAUUUUUUGUGUGACGUAAUAUUUGAAUCUGUUCUGAAGCGAGGUUCGAUAAGGAUACAAAGGUCCAGAGUUACCAAGGCAAAUAUUUGAGCAAUCAAGUCUACUUUGGAUAAUAAAUUAGCCCUAAAUUUCCUUGAAAUUUUGAAGAAAAUUAGAAUUUUCACAGUGCUAUGUGAAGUGGCGUCUGAUACACGUAAUGCAUCCGUCUUUUAUCUCUUCAAAAAAAAAUAUAGACAUUCAGAAACGAUACGUGAUAGCAGUAUUGGUCGACGCACUUGGAACAUUUAGGACGGCCCUCUAGUCACAGACCUUUUAGGCAAGUCCUUUUUUGAAUUAAGGGAUAAUGGCAUGGAUGGGCGUGAUGAAAGUUCUCGAUUCAGCGCCGUCGCUAAACCCGACUUGGACUUUUCUUUUGUACAAUUUUGUCAAAUUUAUUUCACAUAAUGAGAAAAAUAACUAACGAAAUUCAAUCAAUGGGCAUCUUCAAGUUUGAGCAUGUAAGUAUUCUGUACGCUUUUUGAAGUGGCUGUUGUUGUGCGUCUAUGGAACCGCGUUAAUAGCGAAUUUUUAUUUAUCUUCAAUGGUUUCCUAGUAAGGUUUGCUCACAGACAGAAAAUCUUUAAACAAUCUAUUUCAUGCGAGUUACCGCAUCUUUUUUAAUGUAGUUCCUUAACAGAGGUUUGCAGGUAUGAAUAGUCUAUUAUUAUGUAUCCUGUUUUACCUCUCAAAUGGUCCAGCUCGCAGUUUCUGCGGACCAAUUUCUGUUUGUUUUCUAUUUAAAUAAGUGCGUCACUGCUUGACUGUGGAAAAGUAUUCAUAACUGUAAUAACAUAAAAAAUAACAUAAAAACGAAUAUGUUUUUACCACUGCUGCUGGUCGCUGCGUACACCGCAUCGUGCCUUACUACUCGAUGCGUUUGCAUUUGUUCGCAUAACUAAAUAGAAUUGUUUCUCGAAUGAAUGAUCUUUGCAAACAAAUUUCUUUCAAACCUCAGGUAGAACCGAUAAGUGUGUUAAGUAAGUCAGCAAACUGUUACGUUAUUUAUUACGUAACUAUUGCAAGACCAAUGUGUAUAAUACAUACAGUCCUGUAAUAUGGUAUGAAAAACGCAAUGCGUUCAUCAAUCUUGGUUGUUCGCCUCAGGCUGUUCGAAGUGUCCAAGGGUAUACUAGAGAGAAUCCGCAACGGAUGUUUAGCCGGUUAUUGACGUUACAGCAAAGAAUGGCCCGAGAGCCUCUAGGCUUCGUUCCUGCGCGAAGCUGUCGACUCGUACACGAUACCUUGAUAACGGACACACCAAAUGAUAUAUAUAUAUAUAUAUAUAUGUAAAAGUGUUCAUGUAAACAGUCUGGGAUUUAAAACAAAUAGUGAUUGCUUGGUUUCUUCUACUUCACCUCUUGCUUGACCAUGUUUGAGAGACAAUAUGGAGAAAUCUGUGAACUGCGAAUCGAGUUCCAACACGUUGUGUGCUUCUUCCACUCUCUUCAAGCGCAAUUCGUUAUUGCACCAGCUCUGUAGAAAUCCGGGUUAGAUUGAUCUCUUUAAGGUCACCAAUAGUUGCUGGAGAUGAUGCCGACCCGUAAUAAGACAAAAUCGUAAACGACUAAUAGGUGUCCCUUCGAAUCGAAGAUCAUUUGUAACUGCUGGAAUUGAUGUAACUGCUUUGGAUCGCCGUUAUUAUUUGUCCAGGUCGAGCUCAGCCACCUUGCCGUGCAGAACGAUUUCCUUUACCUCGGGUAUAGACGGCUUUACUUUUCUAAAUACUUCCACGACGUUUUGAGAAUAAAAACUCAACAUUUCUAAGAGCCGUGGCAAAUGUGCAUUGCGAGCUAACAUAUACUGUGUACAGGUGCUGCCGCACGACUGUUAGGGCUGUUCUACAUUUUUUUAGGUAUAUAGAACUACUAGAGUAAGUGAACUGUUGCAAUGGCAAGCCGCGCUCCUACCAGACAUAAGCGUUUGCGAACCAGGAUAGAAGUUCGCAAUUACAGCAUUUUUAGCUAUGCCCCUUCAUAUAAAAGACUCCAAUUUAAGGAUAUCACAGUUUUCGUCAUUCUACGCAAAACGGCCAUUUCUCGAACAAAUGAUAUACACAUAUAUAUAUAUAUAUAUAUAUAAAGAAGACGUCUAGCUUGGUGAUGGGAAAGGGUCGAUUAUAAAUGCUCGUUGUGAAUCAAAUCGGGAUCGUCAGCUUUGUUCCUCCGGAGUUCCUCGAUGGCUGCCAUCACCUCUAGCUUUUUCAAGUGCGCAAUGUAUAUCAAGCGUUUAUUGAUCUCGUACAGCUUGGCGAAGUAUACAAUUGCAGAAAAAAGUAUCUUGACUGGCCAGCGUAUCCUUGAACUGUUGAAUGAAGAAGGUCGUUUCGACUAAACAUGCUGUUUUUCAGAUUUGCAGAUGUAUUUGUAACCACAAACCUUUCUCAUAAUCGUUGCGGGUCUUAUCGAAGCCUUAAAAUCAGUGAUUAAUAGUGUCUUAUUAAUGUUUAGCGACUAUAAAAGAAAAUGAGCUCGAAAAGCCUGUGUGACAACAACACUAGUUUGGCCAUUAUUCUGUAUGCUAUUUGGCUGAACAGUAAUUGGAAAACUUGAUCGUAGCCAUUCCAAGCAUUACAUUUAAUGAACGUAUAUAUUUUAAUUGACUGGUGUAUCAAUGUAGAAGUUUCAGCUACUGGAGAAGUUUGAGAUACGAUAAAAAGUAAAUAAAUGGACUGUACAUUAAGAUUUAUAUAUAUAUAUAUAUAUAUAUAUAUAUAAGGUUCCUUAAAGUUAAACGUUGCUAGAGUUCCUAGAACGGAGGCUACAAAGGUCUGCUCUACCAAUAGGCGGUACAGUUGGACCCAUACAGCAGCACCAUUCUCUCUAGAUAUAAAAAUAUGCUGUCAGCCAACCGUAUUUAAUAUAUUUACACUUACCUCGCAAUAAAAGCGUACCCUUAUCCUCACGUGGUGUUCGAACCAAAAUUCUAUUUUUUCUCCUUCCGUUCCUCCUGUUAACUUUGUUGUCUUUUUACAUUUUAUCAAGUUUUAAUGUUCAAGUUUCUGCCACAUUUUUAUUGCUAAAUUUUAAGUGGCGAAAUUAUUCAAGUUAUAAAAUGCAUUUUACCUAAAAAUGAACCAGCACUUGUUGAUGCUUAAAUGUCUUCUUCUAGAAUUCUGUUGGAAAAAAAAAUCUACUUCCUUAUGAUCCUAAAGUGACAUGAACUUUCCUAGCGUAUCGUUUUUUCGAGCCGCUUUGAAAAAAAAAAUACAGAUUCCCAAGAUCCUCAACUAUCGAAUCUUGGCGAUAUAACAUGCGUCACUUGUGCUAUAAUGUAUGUAGUGCUAUAUUUAAUAGGUUAAUUAAUGGCUCAUUGUGACUAAACAUUUUUUGGGCAUAUAUUAUAUUAUAAACAUAACAGACUCAGCGUUAGGUGACCUAUCAUGCACUGCUGUAACGUAGAUCAAUAAACUACAUAGUCACCGCCCUGUGUUCAAGGGCCCAUACACACGACGCGAAUGAAUCCCUAACAACGCUUAACAUUGAAGUACCGAUAUUUCAUUUUUAUUAUUCAUUAUACAAUGCUGCUCACGGUUUUUUUUUUUACUGAUUUAUCAUCAUAUUCACUGCUGUAGCUUAUUUUUGCAAUACUUGGGGAAUUCGUUACAGAAUUACAUUUCCUUUUUUCUUGGCGGUCAUUAUUUUAAAAUAUUAUUAUAAUAAUAACAACUUCAGUUGUUAUUAUAGUAGUUACCGUAAUAAUUAUUCAUACCGCUGUAUGUACAGGAUACACGUUUUUGUCAAGUAUUGUUAUGAAUAUUACUAUUGUGGUCUCGUUUUUCGAAGCUUUUCCAGCUUCACGAAAUCAGCCUCAUCUCGUAUGAACUUGAUAGAUCAUGCUCUCUUUUUCGGUUUUUUUUUUUCUUUUUUUUUUUUGCAGUCUCUUAUCGUUACGCGUGGAUUUACUAGAGACCGUAGACAUUGUGACUUAUUUGAUAACUUAGUUCCCGAAUCGUCGUCACCACCUGCCAUUUGCUUCCAUCCAUAUUUUUCUACUCUAAUACCAAUUGUUUCCACUGCUUGUUCAGCGCGUUUUUCAUCUUCAUCAGAGUACUCGCCGUUAAUGUCAUAUCAUUUAUUAGUCAUUCGCGUACCAUGUAUCGUCUCGACACACGCACAACCAUACGCUGUGAUCUGUUAGCCCCUGUGAAAUACUGUCAUUAAAACACGUGCUUUUCCUAAAUCAUACAGUUACACUCAUACGUUCAAUUGGUAUCUUUUUCUAUCGGGCUAGUUCCUCUUUAUUUUCACUAUAAACCCCUUUGACUUUCAUAUGUGUUGCUGCUAAUUGCCAUUGUAUUAGUUAUCAUAAAGUUUCUUCUCUUUAUCUAGUAUUUCAGUAACUUUCUCCUCGUGCUGCUACCGUAUUUUGAAUACUAAUUAACAUCAAUCAGAGAGUGAUGUGAUUGUUAAUCGCUAUUGAAAAAAAUGAAUAUAAUACUUUUUAUUCAGCAACAAUUCUCGAAUAAUAUUUAAAAUGUGAGAAUUUUUCAAAGAGUUUCGUAUAAUUAUUAAAUCAUUUACCGAAAGAGUCCCUGCGUUUGGUUCUGUUUUUCUCACUUUAUUAAAGGAGACGAACGCAUCAUUGGUCAUAUUAUCAAUACGACUGUUAAUAUCAUCGUAAACACAGUUAUUAUCUGCUGCUGCUGCUGCUGCUGCUACUCAAGGUACUCUCAGUGAAAGCUGUCCUCCUGUUUGUUUUUAUUCUAUUCUCUUCUGUCUAUACCUCAAUAUUCAACACGAUUCUUCAGCAUUUUCGGCGGUACCACAUGGA
Long non-coding RNA from Varroa destructor (honeybee mite), 5716 nucleotides. RefSeq lists it as uncharacterized. The record is from RefSeq and is a predicted model, not a curated record. NCBI's taxonomy places the organism in Eukaryota, Metazoa, Arthropoda, Arachnida, Mesostigmata, Varroidae.